Long non-coding RNA from Bombus huntii, 3198 nucleotides. RefSeq lists it as uncharacterized. Lineage: Eukaryota; Metazoa; Arthropoda; Insecta; Hymenoptera; Apidae. The record is from RefSeq and is a predicted model, not a curated record. The transcript has 3 exons.
GCGAAUUCGCCUGAUAUCAAAAGAACUUCCGUUCUUUUAGAAAUGACCUCGAACGAUCCAAUUAACAUAAAGAUUCCACAUUCGUUCAACUGCUAUUCCUGCUCCUCGAUCUCUGAUCAGAAAACAUAGAGUUGGUCUAACGCCUAUCGCCUAUCGCGCAAUUAGUAUCUAAUUACAUGGCAGUCGCGUAACAAUGCAUGAACUUGAUAUUCCUACCGUUUUGUGACAGUAAAACAAAGUAGGAAAAAGUGAAUAGCACGCGGAGGAAGUAAACGUAAAUGAAGAAAAGGAAGAAGAUGAUGACGAUGACGAAGAAUGUGAAGUAAAAGAACUAGAAAAAGAAGAAAAAGUCGAAGAGAGAAAAAAUCGUAAGAUAACGCGAUGUUCGUGUACAUUGACGCAUAUAAAAUAGGUAAAGAAAUAUGAGAACGAAGUAAAAGUAGAGAAAAAUGAAGAAAUUGAUGAAAGACGAUGAUGGCGAUGAAGAAAAAGAAAAAGACGAAAGAGAAGGGUAGAAAAGAUCAUAAGGCAACGUGGUGCCCAUGCACAUUCACGCGUAGAAAGUGCGCGUGCGUAGCUGCGCACAUGACGCCUCUGUACGCGGUAUAUAAAUGGCGUAAAGGCGUUUACGCGGUCGAAGGGGAGUUGGAGAAGAGGACAGUAACCCACAAGGAACGUUCUGUCUCAUAAGCGUGGUGCGUUGCACUUAAAUAUAGUCGGUGCAUAGAGAGGAAGAUAGAGAAAAGUUCACGCAUACGUAUAUGCGUACGUACCGUUGCGGUGGAAGAAAGAUAGAAAAAAAGUGCGACGCGACGUUCGUUCUUCUCGUCGUCCUAUUAUUCUCUUUUAGCACAACGGGCUCCCUGCUUGUUUGGAAGUAGUACACUCACGGAUUCGAACGGUCAACAGUAUAAUAGUAUGUUCCUUUCGUGGGCUGUUUCCUACGUCGGAGACGUUUCUUAGAUCUCUCGCUUAAAAUUCGAUAAUAGGAAAUCCCUCCGUAACUGUCCGACGUCAUUGUUUGACCAGCUUUUAACACGUUCAACUAGGCUUGAGCCGCUGAUGGUUUAAAGUGCUGUGUCGGCGCAAGACACCGUGGUGCUUCAAAACAGAAUUGUACGUUUUUAACACUUUGGACCGUGCGUCCUGUAACUGUGCUGCGUUAGUGUUGGUUUUGUACUACAGCUGGGAGAACAGUUAAAAACUCUGUUGACAGAUGGAAACAAAUUUCUUUUUUAAAACAGAAAUACUCAAAUUAGUGAUAAAAUUAACUUUCUUGCAAUGGAAUCCGAAUAAUGGUUUCGUAAAAUGUAUAUGAAUUCCGGAGAAUGUAGUAUACAAAGUUAUGUAGAAAAUACAACAUAAAAAAUGUGAAGCAUCGAAAUUCUUCGUUGGAAAAGUGAAUAUAAAUACAUAUGUACUAUGAAACACUAUGAAACACUAUGAAACACUACGAAACAUUAUAAAAAUAUGUAUAUGUAGUUGUUAUGAAUAAUAUAAAAACACGUAGUUAUUUAUAUAAAUAAAGAGAUUUUAACGCAUAAAUUUCCACUAUCAGAUGGUUUUACAACGUUUAUACGUAUGGAUAACGAUAUCAUUUUCUUACUAUGUUUGGGAUUAUGGCACAUUAAAAGACAAUUUGUCUUUCGUUAUCUAAGAAGCAGCUUUAUUUCUUCCAAGAUAAAAUGGAUAUAGCGUUCAGAUAACGUGCAAGAUAAACAAAUUGUAGCUGAAUUAUUUAUGAAUAUAUAAAAAGAAGGAAAAAUACACAUUUGUAAUUUAGCUUAAAAGUUUUAAACUUUUUGUUUUAAUUUGCUUUUACAUGAAAGUGUUGAGAAAAUCCAAAGGUACUGACCGUUUUUUUUUCUUUUCUUUUUCCUUUUUCUUUUUUUCUUUUCUUUUCCCUUUUUCUUUUUUUUUUUUCUUUUCGUUUUUUCUUUCUUCUUUUUGAGUGGAAGGGUAUAUUUUCGAACAUGCAUAAAGUAAGUAGUAAUCUAUACUCAAACGAACUGGAUAACCAUCGUUCAAUGUCGACCAAGGACACAGAUAAAGAAAAAGCAACAAAAAAAGUUUUAGAAGUUACUCAUUUUUACAUCGUUAGGAAUGUUAGGUGUGGAAAUUGAUCACUUUCACUUACCAAAGCGCUUUUCCAAGCGAGUUUGGAACCAAUUUUAAACCUAUUACACUUACCUACAUAUUUCCCAUCUCUCUAAGAAGCAAAGUAAUCAAUACGUAUCCCGAUGCGUGAACAACAUAGGAAUGCAACAGUUUCGCUAAGAUAUCGUAAUGCCAGAAUGCAAAAAGAUCACAGUAAAGUUAAGCAUGAGCUAACUUAGGCUGAUCAAAAUCGUGCCGAGCACAACACGUUCUCGCAUCUGUUUUUUUUAUUUUCGUUGGAAUAGUAUGCUGGAAUAGUAGCUUCAUUGAAAUUUAUAGUCGAACUAUAUCGUGCUAUAGACGAAUCACAAAGAACUUUCUCCAACCCGGACAAAAUUUCUGUCGAAUUGUACGUAAUGAAACUUUGAAAUAUCUAAAUUCAACGAUCGUCUUAACUACUCAAUUUUUCCUGUUUAAUUUCUUGCGUCAGAUCGGAUCCCUUGAUCUCAUUUCGAUAGAAUAUUUUCCCAUUGUUUAAGUUUGAAUGUUACCGCAGGAUAGAUAUCUCCUACGAAAAAUUUAGGAAUUGUCUGAGAGAAGAUAUGUCGUCUAUGUAUACGUGGAACGCAUAUGUAUACUUUAACGCUAUGAUUGUCAUUAACAAAGUUGCUAGUCGAUCGUACCAACAAAUUUUCGGAGCGAAAGUAGUUAAAAAUUUCAUCGGUUCGUAGUCGUAUUAAGCAUCGUUUGGUAUACAGAUUAUAUAUAUGGAAUGGUGCUCUGCAAAAAUUAGUGGAAUUACAGUUUGUAGUGUUUGUAGAUUAUCGAUACGAUCCGCUGGCUACGUUGUAAUUGCGUAGGACUCUCGAAAUCGCAGCGACGGAUCGCCCGGAUUUAUCGGGUAUUACGCAACGCCAUCAAUUUUGUUAAUGUAUUGCUCGCAAAGCUAACACUGGAAUGUAGAUAGAGCUGUUUGUGAUUGAGCUACUCGGAUAGAUUGAAAUUCGUUUUGUUGGAAAGGUGUAAGUUUUCGAAAUAUUCCAGAUAUGUAGGAUCUACAUUUUGAAGAACAGGGAACUCAGAAAAGGAGGAAUGAAACGA